RNAcentral lists this non-coding RNA (24 nucleotides) under Arabidopsis thaliana (thale cress). The record is from RNAcentral. Lineage: Eukaryota; Viridiplantae; Streptophyta; Magnoliopsida; Brassicales; Brassicaceae.
CACAAUGAAAAUUGGUUCUAUUAC